AUGUCCCGCCGCAUCCGCCUUCGCCGCGCGCUCCUACUCCGGCUGAAGUCCGGCCUGCGCCACUCCUUUACCUCGCCGUUUUCCCGCCUCCGCAUCCGCCUCCGCCGCUAUUCCACCGCGCCGAUGUCUCGCCUCCGUCUCCGCCUCCCCCGCGGCAGCUCCUCCCCCACCACACUGAUACCCCGCCUCCGGCUCCUCCGCCGCUGCUCCACCUCCACCUCCACGUCGUCGCCCUCACGCUCCUGGUCUCCCCGAGACGCCUUUGCCGCGGCCACGGAGCGUGUUCGCGCCGGGACGCUCAGCCUGGAAGACGCUCACAAACUGUUCGACGAAUUGCUCGGUCAGGCCACCCCGGUCCCGGAGCGCUCCCUGAACGGCUUCCUUGCCGCCCUCGCCCGCGCGCCCGCCUCCGGUGCCUGCAUCAGAGAUGGCCCCGCCCUUGCAGUGGCUCUCUUCAACCGUGUGUGCAGAGAGGAAGCCGGCGCGCAGGUGGCGGCGCUCACAGUUUGCACCUACAACAUCCUCAUGGACUGCUGCUGCCGUGCGCGUCGUCCGGACCUAGGGCUUGCCUUAUUUGGCUGCUUCCUCAGGAAGGGCCUGAAGACAGACCAGACCGGCGCCAACACCUUCCUCAAGUGCCUCUGCUACGCGAAACGGACGGAUGAGGCUGUGAACGUGCUCCUCCACAGGAUGUCCGAGCUCGGCUGUGUGCCUAAUGCCGUUUCGUACAACACUGUUCUGAAGGGCUUAUGCGACAAUAGCAUGAGUCAGCGGGCGCUCAACCUGCUCCAGAUGGUGGCGGGAAAAGGAGGUGGCUGCUUCCCUGAUGUGGUGGCGUAUAGCACGGUCAUCCAUGGCUUUUUUAAGGAGGGUGAAACAGGGAAGGCAUGCAGUCUAUUCCAUGAAAUGAUGCAGCAAGGGAUUGUGCCCAGUGUGGUGACAUAUAACUCGAUUAUUGAUGCGUUGUGCAAGGUCAGAGAAGUGGACAAGGCAGAGCUAGUCCUUCGUCAGAUGGUUGCUAAAGGUGCUCAACCCGAUACAGUGACAUAUAAUUGCAUGAUCAAUGGAUAUGCCACAUCUGGGCGGUUGAAAGAGGCUGCUAAAAUGUUCAGAGAAAUGAAAAGCCGGGGUCUUACACCAAAUGUUGUUACUUGCAACUCGUUCCUGGCCUCCCUUUGCAAGCACCGAAGUAGCAAAGAAGCUGCAGAAUUUUUUGAUUCCAUGACAGCCAAGGGCCAAAAACCUGAUAUCAUCUCGUAUUGUACUUUGCUUCAUGGGCAUGCCAGAGAAGGAUGCUUUACUGAUAUGAUUGAUCUCUUUAAUUCAAUGAAAAGCAAUGGUAUUGCAGCCGACUGCCAUGUUUUCACCAUAUUAAUUGAUACCUAUGCUAAACGCGGAAUGAUGGAUGAUGCAAUGCACAUAUUUACGGAAAUGCAGCAACAAGGUGUGAGUCCAAAUGUUGUCACAUAUUCAACUGUAAUAUCAGCACUUUCUAGAAUGGGUAGGUUGACCGAUGCUAUGGAAAAAUUUAAUCAGAUGGUUGCCUUGGGAGUACAGCCGGAUAGAGCUAUUUAUCAGUCCCUAAUUCAGGGCUUUUGUAUGCAUGGUGGUUUGGUUAAAGCUAAGGAGUUGGUUUCUCAAAUGAUAAACAAAGGUAUUCCUCAUCCUAACAUUGUGUUCUUCAAUUCAGUAAUAAACAGUAUGUGCAAGGAAGGCAGGGUUAUGGAUGCACAUGAUAUCUUUGACUUGGUUAUAGACAUAGGUGAUAGGCCUGAUGACACUUCAUUUAAUUCACUGAUUGAUGGAUAUUGCUUAGUCGGGAAGAUGGAUAAAGCAUUCGGAAUGCUUAAUGCCAUGGAAUCAGUUGGUGUUGAGCCUGAUAUUGUUACUUACAGUACACUUGUUAAUGGCUAUUGUAGAAAUGGAAGGAUCGAUGAUGGUUUGACUCUGUUUAGAGAAAUGAUGUGCAAGGGAGUUAAACCUACAACUGUGACAUAUGGCAUCAUACUGGAUGGGUUGUUUCAUUCUGGGAGAACUGUUGCUGCAAUGAAAAUGUUCCAUCAGAUGAUUGAAAGUGGAACAACAGUGACCAUUUCCACGUACAGUAUAAUACUUGGAGGUCUUUGUAGAAAUAAUUGUGCAGACGAAGCGAUUGUCCUGUUCCAGAAAUUAGGAGCAAUGAAUGUAAAGUUCAGUAUUACAAUACUCAAUACCAUGAUUAAUGCAAUGUACAAGGUUCAAAGAAAAGAAGAAGCUAAGGAGUUGUUCGGUACAAUAUCAGCCAGUGGGUUGGUGCCUAAUGAAUGUACUUAUGGAGUAAUGAUAAAAAAUCUUCUGGAAGAAGGAUCAGUGGAAGAAGCUGACAAUAUGUUUUCGUUUAUGGACAGGAGUGGUAUAGUCCCCAGCUCCCGUCUCAUGAAUGAUAUCAUCAGAAUGUUGUUGGAAAAAGGUGAGAUUGCCAAGGCCGGAUAUUAUCUGUCUAAAGUUGAUGGAAAGAGCAUAUCACUUGAAGCUUCAACUACUUCAUUGAUGUUUUCUCUCUUUUCAAGGAAAAGCAAAUAUCAGGAGGAUAUGAAAUUGCUCCCUGCAAAGUAUCAAAUUUUCGACGGAUUAGUUGUCUAG
This 2622-nucleotide ribosomal RNA is filed under the name Triticum aestivum (bread wheat). RNAcentral describes it as "partial small subunit ribosomal RNA". Lineage: Eukaryota; Viridiplantae; Streptophyta; Magnoliopsida; Poales; Poaceae. The record is from RNAcentral.